GAUGAACGCUGGCGGCGUGCCUAAUACAUGCAAGUCGAGCGAACAGACGAGGAGCUUGCUCCUCUGACGUUAGCGGCGGACGGGUGAGUAACACGUGGAUAACCUACCUAUAAGACUGGGAUAACUUCGGGAAACCGGAGCUAAUACCGGAUAAUAUAUUGAACCGCAUGGUUCAAUAGUGAAAGACGGUUUGCUGUCACUUAUAGAUGGAUCCGCGCCGCAUUAGCUAGUUGGUAAGGUAACGGCUUACCAAGGCAACGAUGCGUAGCCGACCUGAGAGGGUGAUCGGCCACACUGGAACUGAGACACGGUCAAGACUCCUACGGGAGGCAGCAGUAGGGAAUCUUCCGCAAUGGGCGAAAGCAUGACGGAGCAACGCCGCGUGAGUGAUGAAGGUCUUCGGAUCGUAAAACUCUGUUAUUAGGGAAGAACAAAUGUGUAAGUAACUAUGCGCGUCUUGACGGUACCUAAUCAGAAAGCCACGGCUAACUACGUG
Molecule: ribosomal RNA, 496 nt
Filed under: uncultured bacterium
Lineage: Bacteria
Description: partial 16S ribosomal RNA
Rfam family: Bacterial small subunit ribosomal RNA
Source: RNAcentral